This 253-nucleotide ribosomal RNA is filed under the name uncultured bacterium. RNAcentral describes it as "partial 16S ribosomal RNA". It matches the Rfam family "Bacterial small subunit ribosomal RNA", at positions 524 to 776 of the family's 1533-position model. The record is from RNAcentral.
GACAGAGGGUGCAAACGUUGUUCGGAAUUACUGGGCGUAAAGGGUUUGUAGGUGGCUUGCUAAGUCAGACGUGAAAUCCCUCAGCUUAACUGGGGAACUGCGUCUGAUACUGGCGAGCUUGAGUGCAGGAGAGGAACGCGGAAUUCCAGGUGUAGCGGUGAAAUGCGUAGAUAUCUGGAGGAACACCGGUGGCGAAGGCGGCGUUCUGGACUGUAACUGACACUGAGAAACGAAAGCCAGGGUAGCAAACGGG